AAAUUUAAAUGAUUAAAAGUGGGCGGAAUGAUAUUUGAUUAAAUUUACUAAUUGAUUAUGAAU
This 63-nucleotide small nucleolar RNA is filed under the name Guillardia theta. Its description in RNAcentral is "C/D box GtNM-R14". Lineage: Eukaryota; Cryptophyceae; Pyrenomonadales; Geminigeraceae. The record is from RNAcentral.